RNAcentral lists this ribosomal RNA (1360 nucleotides) under uncultured bacterium. RNAcentral's name for it is "bacterial SSU rRNA". It matches the Rfam family "Bacterial small subunit ribosomal RNA", at positions 54 to 1401 of the family's 1533-position model. The record is from RNAcentral.
CAUGCAAGUCGAGGGGGCAGCAUGAAAAGUUUGCUUGCAAAACUUUUGAUGGCGACCGGGCGCACGGGUGAGUAACACGUAUCCAACCUGCCUCAUACUCGGGGGAUAGCCUUUCGAAAGAAAGAUUAAUACCCGAUGUCAUAGUCCUACCGCAUGAAUGGGAUUAUUAAAGAAUUUCGGUAUGGGAUGGGGAUGCGUUCCAUUAGUUAGUUAGCGGGGUAACGGCCCACCAAGACAACGAUGGAUAGGGGUUCUGAGAGGAAGGUCCCCCACAUUGGAACUGAGACACGGUCCAAACUCCUACGGGAGGCAGCAGUGAGGAAUAUUGGUCAAUGGACGAGAGUCUGAACCAGCCAAGUAGCGUGAAGGAUGACUGCCCUAUGGGUUGUAAACUUCUUUUAUAUGGGAAUAAAAUGUUCCACGUGUGGGAUUUUGUAUGUACCAUAUGAAUAAGGAUCGGCUAACUCCGUGCCAGCAGCCGCGGUAAUACGGAGGAUCCGAGCGUUAUCCGGAUUUAUUGGGUUUAAAGGGAGCGUAGGUGGAUUGUUAAGUCAGUUGUGAAAGUUCGCGGCUCAACCGUAAAAUUGCAGUUGAAACUGGCAGUCUUGAGUACAGUAGAGGUGGGCGGAAUUCGUGGUGUAGCGGUGAAAUGCUUAGAUAUCACGAAGAACUCCGAUUGCGAAGGCAGCUCACUGGACUGCAACUGACACUGAGGCUCGAAAGUGUGGGUAUCAAACAGGAUUAGAUACCCUGGUAGUCCACACAGUAAACGAUGAAUACUCGCUGUUUGCGAUAUACGGCAAGCGGCCAAGCGAAAGCAUUAAGUAUUCCACCUGGGGAGUACGCCGGCAACGGUGAAACUCAAAGGAAUUGACGGGGGCCCGCACAAGCGGAGGAACAUGUGGUUUAAUUCGAUGAUACGCGAGGAACCUUACCCGGGCUUAAAUUGCACCUGAAUAAUGUGGAAACAUGUUAGCCGUAAGGCAGGUGUGAAGGUGCUGCAUGGUUGUCGUCAGCUCGUGCCGUGAGGUGUCGGCUUAAGUGCCAUAACGAGCGCAACCCUUAUCUUCAGUUACUAACAGGUCAUGCUGAGGACUCUGGAGAGACUGCCGUCGUAAGAUGUGAGGAAGGUGGGGAUGACGUCAAAUCAGCACGGCCCUUACGUCCGGGGCUACACACGUGUUACAAUGGGAGGUACAGAAGGCCGCUACCUGGCGACAGGAUGCCAAUCCCCAAAACCUCUCUCAGUUCGGAUCGAAGUCUGCAACCCGACUUCGUGAAGCUGGAUUCGCUAGUAAUCGCGCAUCAGCCAUGGCGCGGUGAAUACGUUCCCGGGCCUUGCACACAAGCGCCCGUCAAG